This is a small nuclear RNA of Hyaena hyaena (striped hyena), 139 nucleotides long. RefSeq annotates it as U4 spliceosomal RNA. NCBI's taxonomy places the organism in Eukaryota, Metazoa, Chordata, Mammalia, Carnivora, Hyaenidae. The record is from RefSeq and is a predicted model, not a curated record. The transcript has a single exon.
AGCUUUGUGCAGUGGCAGUAUCAUAGCCAGUGAGGUUUAUCCGAGGUGUGAUUAUUGCCAAUAGAAUAUAAUUGAGCCAAGUUGUUUGCCACUUAAUAAGAAAAAUUGCUGUCUUAGUUUGGGUUAUUAUAACAAAAUA